This 465-nucleotide ribosomal RNA is filed under the name uncultured bacterium. RNAcentral's name for it is "partial 16S ribosomal RNA". It matches the Rfam family "Bacterial small subunit ribosomal RNA", at positions 28 to 507 of the family's 1533-position model. The record is from RNAcentral.
GACGAACGCUGGCGGCGUGCUUAACACAUGCAAGUCGAACGGAAAGGCCCCUUUGGGGGUACUCGAGUGGCGCACGGGUGCGUAACACGUGAGUAACCUGCCCUUGACUUCGGGAUAACUUCAGGAAACUGGGGCUAAUACCGGAUAGGAAUCCUUGCUGCAUGGUGGGGGUUGGAAAGCUUCGGCGGUUUUGGAUGGACUCGCGGCUUAUCAGCUUGUUGGUGGGGUAGUGGCUUACCAAGGCUUUGACGGGUAGCCGGCCUGAGAGGGCGACCGGCCACAUUGGGACUGAGAGACGGCCCAGACUCCUACGGGUGGCAGCAGUGGGGAAUAUUGCACAAUGGGCGGAAGCCUGAUGCAGCAACGCCGCGUGCGGGAUGACGGCCUUCGGGUUGAAAACCGCUUUCAGCAGGGGCGAAGCUUGUGGUGACGGUACCUGCAGAAGAAGCACCGGCUAACUACGUG